Molecule: small RNA, 3586 nt
Filed under: Pan troglodytes (chimpanzee)
Lineage: Eukaryota; Metazoa; Chordata; Mammalia; Primates; Hominidae
Description: processed transcript
Source: RNAcentral
CUGCAUUCUGGCUGCAAAAACAGCUCCUGGUUUGAAACAACUUAAUGGAGAACCAGGAGAAAGAGGGGAAGAUGGUCUGCCUGGAAAACCAGGCCUUCGGGGAGAAAUUGGGGAGCAGGGCCUGGCAGGCCGACCUGGAGAGAAGGGAGAAGCAGGCCUCCCAGGGGCUCCAGGCUUCCCAGGUGUGAGAGGAGAGAAAGGAGACCAGGGAGAAAAAGGCGAACUGGGGCUUCCAGGACUGAAAGGUGACCGAGGUGAAAAGGGUGAAGCUGGUCCUGCAGGCCCUCCCGGUUUACCUGGAACUACAUCCCUGUUCACACCACAUCCACGGAUGCCCGGAGAACAAGGGCCCAAAGGAGAGAAGGGCGAUCCAGGCCUGCCUGGGGAACCGGGACUGCAGGGCCGUCCUGGAGAAUUGGGGCCUCGGGGACCCGCUGGACCACCGGGUGCCAAGGGACAGGAAGGUGCACAUGGGGCUCCUGGAGCAGCUGGAAACCCCGGUGCUCCUGGACAUGUCGGUCCCCCCGGUCCCAGUGGCCCUCCAGGAAGUGUGGGUGCUCCUGGCCUCAGAGGCCCCCCUGGGAAAGAUGGGGAGCGUGGUGAGAAGGGUGCAGCGGGGGAAGAAGGCAGCCCAGGGCCAGUUGGUCCCAGGGGAGAUCCUGGUGCUCCUGGGCUCCCUGGGCCACCCGGAAAAGGGAAGGAUGGAGAGCCGGGACUCCGUGGAUCACCUGGACUCCCUGGAACCCUAGGAACCAAGGGGGAUCGAGGAGCUCCUGGGAUCCCUGGUUCUCCUGGCAGCCGUGGUGACCCAGGCAUUGGGGUUGCUGGCCCUCCUGGCCCUUCCGGACCACCAGGAGACAAAGGACCCCCGGGAUCACGAGGCUUACCUGGAUUUCCUGGCCCCCAGGGCCCAGCCGGCCGGGACGGUGCACCAGGAAAUCCAGGAGAAAGAGGGCCUCCUGGCAAGCCGGGCCUCUCUUCACUACUGUCUCCAGGGGACAUAAAUCUCUUGGCUAAGGAUGUGUGCAAUGACUGCCCUCCUGGCCCCCCAGGCCUCCCUGGUCUACCAGGUUUUAAAGGGGACAAAGGUGUCCCAGGAAAGCCAGGGAGAGAAGGCACAGGAGGGAAAAAGGGAGAGGCUGGGCCUCCAGGCCUACCAGGGCCCCCAGGAAUAGCUGGACCACAGGGAAGUCAAGGAGAACGUGGUGCAGAUGGUGAGGUUGGACAGAAAGGUGAUCAGGGUCAUCCUGGAGUUCCAGGUUUCAUGGGGCCCCCAGGGAACCCUGGGCCACCAGGGGCAGAUGGAAUUGCGGGAGCUGCUGGACCACCAGGAAUCCAAGGGUCACCUGGGAAAGAAGGCCCUCCUGGCCCCCAAGGCCCAUCUGGAUUACCCGGAAUCCCAGGAGAAGAAGGCAAAGAGGGCAGAGAUGGAAAGCCGGGUCCCCCUGGAGAGCCGGGCAAAGCAGGAGAGCCAGGUCUACCAGGACCAGAGGGUGCCCGAGGCCCACCUGGCUUCAAGGGACACACAGGCGAUUCUGGUGCACCCGGUCCCCGGGGAGAGCCUGGUGCCAUGGGGCCUCCUGGUCAGGAAGGGUUACCAGGAAAAGAUGGUGACACUGGACCCACUGGGCCACAGGGUCCCCAAGGACCAAGGGGCCCACCGGGCAAGAAUGGAUCACCGGGAUCUCCAGGAGAGCCUGGCCCUUCAGGAACCCCUGGCCAGAAAGGAAGCAAAGGGGAAAAUGGCAGCCCAGGACUUCCUGGCUUCCUGGGUCCCCGUGGGCCUCCGGGAGAACCAGGAGAGAAAGGAGUCCCAGGCAAGGAGGGGGUCCCUGGGAAGCCUGGAGAGCCCGGAUUCAAAGGAGAAAGGGGAGAUCCUGGGAUCAAAGGUGACAAAGGACCUCCUGGUGGAAAAGGCCAGCCCGGGGACCCUGGAAUCCCAGGCCACAAAGGCCACACAGGCCUGAUGGGUCCCCAAGGACCACCUGGGGAGAACGGACCAGUUGGACCCCCAGGGCCUCCAGGCCAGCCGGGAUUUCCAGGACUGAGGGGGGAGUCUCCAUCCAUGGAAACCCUGCGUCGGCUUAUUCAAGAAGAGCUGGGGAAGCAGCUUGAAACCAGACUCGCCUACCUCCUGGCCCAGAUGCCCCCAGCGUACAUGAAGUCAUCUCAAGGCAGACCUGGGCCCCCAGGGCCCCCUGGAAAAGAUGGGCUUCCAGGCCGGGCCGGCCCCAUGGGGGAGCCAGGUCGUCCUGGGCAGAGGGGUCUGGAAGGACCCUCUGGACCCAUAGGUCCCAAAGGUGAGCGAGGAGCCAAAGGUGACCCAGGUGCACCUGGAGUUGGCCUCCGAGGCGAGAUGGGACCCCCUGGAAUCCCAGGUCAACCCGGGGAACCUGGCUAUGCUAAAGAUGGACUUCCUGGGAUCCCUGGCCCUCAAGGGGAGACAGGACCAGCUGGACAUCCUGGCCCCCCAGGACCUCCCGGUCCCCCAGGCCAAUGUGACCCUUCCCAGUGUGCCUACUUCGCCAGCCUUGCUGCCCGGCCGGGUAACGUGAAGGGUCCCUAGAGGACUCUGGAAAGCCAGAAGACUGCAGUGGAUUUCUGAAACUUGAACUCAGAGCCCAAUGGGAAGCCAGAGGUCUUGAAAGACUUCAGCCAUGUGUUCCUUUUUUUUUUCUUUCUUUUAUCAUUUGCUUUUUGUUUUAUUUUCUUGAGAGACCUCAAAAUUAUUAAAUCCAACAGACGCUGCCGGUCGGUCAGAUUAUUAUUAAUAUUAUUGUUGUUGUUAAUUAUUAUUAUUAUUUCAUAUGCUGAUGCUUUGUGAGUUCUUUUCCACUCCUUUAAAGUUGGGAAAACUUGAUUCGUGGGGCAGGAGAUUGUUUCUUCAUUCUUCUGACAGCCCCCAUCUGACGUGUAACUGCCCAUUUUAAGGAAACUCUUGGUGCUACAAAACCCUGACCAGACACUUGGCAAAUUUACCUCUUUCUUCAAAAGAAAAACUUUAAGAAAAUGAGCCAAUGGGCUUCAUUCUCAGUCAUGCCCGGAGAUCACCCAGGGAGAAAUAAUACAAACACCACCGCUGUCCAGAGAGAGUAAAGAAGCAGAAAGAGAAAGAAUUUGCAACCAUGAGGAAUGUUCCCACCUCCCGACGGGACGUGCAUUUGGAGAACACAGAAUCAGCCCUCAGGGUGCACUCCAGCCACCUCAGUGCUCUAAGCUCACAGAAGUGAAAUAAUGUCUGUGCGUUGGCAAUGGCUUUGUGGGAUCAUAUGUCUUGGCCAAAGAUGGGAAAACCCAUGUUGAAGAGGCAGCCCUUGAGUGUUAAUUUGUCUUCUAAACUGUGGGUAAGGCCCCUUCAAGUUCCUUUUGUUGGUUUCAAUUAUAUUAAUUAUAAAAUAAGUGGAUGUGGUGACCAUCCACUUGUGUUCCCUAAUGAUGGGCAGUUGGCCAGGGCACUGACCAGAGCUGGGAAAUUUGGAUCUCCAAGGCGGCUCUGUCUCUGAAAUAAAUGGCAUCAAGUGCAUGUGUGUAUGCGACAUGCCCUGCCUGAACAGGUGCUCAAUAAAUCCAAGUUUCCUUCUCUUGA